GCGCGGCUGAGGGCGAGGCUGGUGCGGGCAGUGCGGCCGGAGUCGCCAUUACUGUGUGAAGAGCCAACGCUGCGAGUGGCUCCGGGGGAAGAGCCACACCGACAGGGCGGCCUCACUCCACUGUCCCCGUCCCCCUCCCCACCCCCCCAAGCCUUUGUUUUCUACAGAAAUCCCCACUCCCCCGCCAUCCCCUCCCUUCGCGAAACGAUAAAUUGGAAGUAGGUUAUUUUAACUGGUGAGCGAGCGGGCCCCCGGAGCGGUCGGACGUUGACUCUUCUCCCUCACUCCCUCUCCCCCCCGGGUUGUCUGAGUCGCGAAGCUCUGGGCGUUUGAGGCGAGUUAGUGUCGGCGGAUCAUGGCGUGCGGGGCCACACUCAAACGCAGCGUCGAGUUUGACGCCCUGCUCAGUCCACAGUCGCCCAAGAGGAGGCGGUGUAUGCCUUUAACAGGGCCCGGCACUGGGACACCUUCGCCCCAGAAGUAUCUGAAGACAGAGGCUGCGGCCUUUGGAGGAGAGAGCUCAUCAGCGCACAAACUCACCCCAGAACAAAUAUUUCAGAACAUCAAGCAAGAAUAUAGCCGUUUCCAAUGGAGGCGACAGCUAGAAGGAACUUUUAAUCAAAGUGAAACAAACUGUUCUGCUGAGGGAUCAUCUAACAAUUUGUUACUAAAUGCACCAAGUUCACCGGGGACAUUAUCAAAGAAAGAUCAGCCAUUGUUCACAUUACGACAGGUUGGGAUAAUUUGUGAGCGUCUCCUAAAAGACCAUGAAAGCAAGAUCCGGGAGGAAUAUGAACAAGUUCUAAACACAAAACUUGCAGAACAAUAUGAUGCUUUUGUGAAAUUCACACAUGACCAGAUUAUGAGACGAUAUGGAGAACGACCUGCCAGCUGUCAACAUUGAUUGUCCAUCCUUGAUUGCUCGUCAGGAUGGUGAUGACCUCUGCCUUGAACUGGUACAAUAUGAGUGAUGUGUCCUGAAGCAUUUUGUGCUUGAAUGGGUGUUGGCUUUCACCUCAAGUCAGCUGCUGUACUUAUGAAAACUAGUUUUGGUGCCAUGUUUUUCCCACCUUCAACUUGAGGGAUUUUAACUCUUCAUCGCUGGCCCACCCUACCUCUUGUAAAAAUGAAACAAAAACAAAAAUCUGACUUUGUGCUGUCAGUACAGAGAUUUGUCUACUUUCCACUGCUAACUCUGCUACUGUGAGAAUAACCUGCCAUUUAUUUCCAGUUCAAGAAGCUGAGUACCAAGCAACAGUUGUUAAACCUGCCUUUUUAAGAAGUGGCACUGAAAAUGGGAAUGUUACCUUCAAACCUUUUUGAAAGGAUUAAAGUUCUGUCACAAGUGAUUUAGUCUGAAUUUUGAAUGUCAUUAAAGUAGAAAUUUGUUUCUCUCUGAUCUGAAAAAUAGUGCACUACAAUAUUACUGCAGAAAUCUCCCUUGUAGAAUAGAUUUUAUUUUUUUAUUCAGUAGUGUCAGCUGCAAACAUUUUGUAUUGUUAUUACCUGACUGCAGGUGGUAUGUGCGUAUCCAAUCAAUUAAUUGGAUUCAGAGUUUGAGUUGGGUAAACUACAGUAGGAUAUAAAUUCCACAGAUGGACUGAAGCAGACUCGGUGUGAAAUAUUACCUGUUCUUACGUGGUUAACUGGCUGAUCACAGGAAUUGUACGCAUGGGUAUUGCCAAAUGGAUGAUCUGGUUUCAAAUUGGGUAUGGAGUGGUUUAUGUCAAGAGUUUGAUGGAACCAACUUUACCAUGUGAACAUGAAGAAAAACAAUCACUUGUAAACUGAUGUAAAGCUGUUUGUCAUUGUUUUGGUUAAAAUUGUCUAAAUGGCCUUAAAUACCCUUGUGCUUUUUCUUUAAGCCUUGUUUUGUGGCGGUGAUCUGUUUAAAUGAAUGUAAUCUUUUUACCAUGUGCACCAGCAGUUUUAAAUUGGCUCUGAAUUUGUGCCAACAAUUUAAGAAUGGGGAAGGUUUGUAAAAUGAGCUGCCUUUUUUAAGUUGAAGAUUCUUCUAAUUCUCACUGGAACACGUAUUGGGCUUGAGCUUGGUCGGUAUGAUUUUCUUGCUGUCUCAAAUACAAUGUAUUUGAUCUCAAGAUGCAUGAGAACCAUAGGCAAAAAUUCAGAAACCAGAUUAUUUGGUAUAUGUUCUAGUAAUUUGGUGUGGUGCAGACUUAAUUUGAACGCUUAACCUGAGAGAACUCCAAAUCCAACUGUUGAUCAUCCAUAUCCAAACGGUGGGGUUGAGGGAUUUUCACUAUCCCCUUAACAGAUACAAUAAUGAAUAGUCGCAUUGCAGUGACGAUUGUCACCACAAUCCUUUGGGGGGGGGAGAGAAGGAUAUGAGGUUAGUUUAGUUAGAAUGAAUUCUAAUUUUUUUCCUUAAAAGCAUACCUAACCAAAGUGCAACUUUUACCUUGCUCUUUGUACAUUUUUUUGCCCUGUAUAGUACUAACAAGCUUAGUUUUAAAAAAAACUUGACAUACACCAGACAUCUCCUUUAUUCUAUUUUGAUGUAAACAUUUAAUAUUUUGAAACCUGGGGAUUUGAAAACCUGUUUGCAAAUUGAUUUUGCAACAUGCUGUAGUCUUGGAUUUGCUUGUUUGCCUGUUUUUUUAAUCUACUUAUGGUUUAGUUGACUUCUGUUAAUAAAUCUAGUGGCCUUAUGAAAACAGCCAGGUAAACCUGUUUUUGGCCUCAGAGUCAAGGUUCCCAGAUAUUCAUUAUCAGUGAUAUUAGUGUUUUUAUUAAUGAAAACAUAGUUACUUUGUGGAGUGAGAGUUCAUAUUGGCAGUAGUUACAUACCUCCUUUGCAUGACUAACUACACACAUUUUCAUGGUGAUGUUCAUUAUAAAAGGAAGCAUGCUGUUGAGUUUGGAGCUUGCACUUUUCUGACACCUUGCCAUGUAGCUGCAUAUGUGAAGGGUAAUUUAGGAUGAUUUGUAUUAUAGUGAUGCUUUUCAGUUGUGUUCUUCCAUUUUGCUAUUUAAUGGGAAUGGCAUUUACAUGAUUUGAUUUACACUUGUACCAUUGAAAUUGGAUAGUUAAGAUUAAAACUUUAGUUAUUCAGUAUUGUUGUGAAUGUUUAGUUAUACCUGAACGCUAAGAUCAAUGUUAUAGUUUUCAGUGGUGUAACAGGAACAACAAAACUUACUUUGGUUAUUAGCGCUAAUGAUAACGGUUGCAAGUACAGUACAGUCUAGGGCUACUUGAAUGAUUGGGCUGGGGGUGAAUAUUGAUCAGGUUGGUCAGUGUAUUAGUAAUUGUUUAUAUAUGCUUGUCCUUCUGUACCUUCCUGUAUCCCCUGACAAUAUCCUUUUUCACAAAUGUUCAAGUUCCCCAAUGGUAUCCAAUACAUCAUGUAUGAAUAAUUCUAAUGUCACUUUUAAUCUGAAUAUUCUGUUAUUUCCAGGCUAUAGUUGUGCUCAGUAGUUUUCUUUCCAAUUGGACUAGAGCCCCAUUUUAAAAAAAAUCACUGCAACAGGAGUUUUCUAAAUAAUGCACUGGAUUCAUUAAAUCAUUUUACUCUUAUAAACUUACAUGGAAAAAUUAAAGUCCUGAGGUAAUUAGGUCAAAAAUGAGUUGCAUCUGUUGGUUUGUGAUUGGGCACUCCUCUUAUCUUCCAGUCCUUUACACUGUAAUUUGAAACUUUAUCAUAGGGAAAGGCUAAAAUGAGGAUGCUAGAUAUAAAUAUUGCUGUAACUGAACAGUGAGCUUUGCUUUCAGAAAGUGGUUUCUGCAAAUCCUACUGUGGGAGAUUACAAAGAGGAAUUUAGUAAGUUGAUUUUGGUGGUAGUAACACAAGUGUUUGUGUGCAUGUAUUUAAAACCUUUCCUGUAUGUCCUUAUACUUUCUACUUUCUCCCUUCUAAUUUUUCUACAAUCCUGCUGUGGUACCUUCCCCCAGAGUAUUACAGAGGUCACAAAAUAAUGGCAGUAUAAAGUGAUGACUGAUUCCUGUUGCAUUAGAACAUCCAGCAAGUUUACUUGCUGGAUAUAAAUGACAGAAUAAAGGUCAACAUUGAGACUUGUAUGUAGCUUUUAAUUUUUGGGAGUUAAAAAAAAAAACUUGUCAGUGCUUAGAACUAGUUUUCUUAUAGGUGUUUGUUUGGAAUACAUAUUGGAAUCUGAGAUCUAGGUUUUAAAGAACAGAAGGAACACAGACUUGUUCUAAACACUUUCAAACACUUUCACGGAAUGUCAUGACUUUAGAAUGUGUGCUUACCUAACAUACAGAACAGACAGUGGCAAAGCUAUUGCCCCUCUACAUAGCAAAUAAUAGCCCUUCUGUUGAGGUAAAAUUUGCUAUUUGUGUUCCAUGUAAUAGAUGUACUGUUUGUGGAGACCAUGCCUUUGUCAAGAAAGUUACUUUAAUUCACCAUUCAAUGCCAUUUGUUUCAUUGAAAUUCAUUAAACAAAUACAAUACCAA
Molecule: RNA transcript, 4433 nt
Organism: Amblyraja radiata (thorny skate)
Lineage: Eukaryota; Metazoa; Chordata; Chondrichthyes; Rajiformes; Rajidae
Gene: akirin1
Gene name: akirin 1
Exons: 6
Source: RefSeq, a predicted model, not a curated record